UCAGUUGGUAGAGCACUGCCUUUGCAAGGCAGGGGUCGCAGGUUCGAAACCUGUCGCAUCC
Molecule: transfer RNA, 61 nt
Filed under: uncultured Symbiodinium
Lineage: Eukaryota; Dinophyceae; Suessiales; Symbiodiniaceae
Description: partial tRNA
Rfam family: tRNA
About the family: Transfer RNA (tRNA) molecules are approximately 80 nucleotides in length. Their secondary structure includes four short double-helical elements and three loops (D, anti-codon, and T loops).
Source: RNAcentral